UGCAUUCGUUCGCUAGGCGAAACAACCCGUCCGCUCUGAACGAACGAGGGGCUGGGCGGUGGCAACUUCUUCGCGUGACGGGUUGCCUGGGAUGCGCCGGUCAUGGGCAGCGGCGGGGGCCAGCCGAUGGCUUCGGGUGAUGCCAACCGGGACGGCAGCGCAUCCUCGGGAGAGGAGGCGGGAGGAGGAGAAGGAGAGGCCUGGCGGCGGGUGAGGAAGUCUCACUGGCGAGCGGGCUCACGCCGCCGCCUGGCGCGUGGUUUGGAUCGGGGCACUUCCCCGCGGACGAGGAGCGAGCGGACGAAACACGGUCCCGCACGCCGCACCAUGCUGCCUGUUGACGGACGUGAGGGCCACCGCACGGACGCGAGCACCACCAACCCUCCUCUGACGCGUGCGAGAGCAGGCGCCCCGGCCGCCCCCGUCGCGCCAUCUCUGAUGGAUGCGAGAGCAGGCCGCCACUCCUCCGACGAGAAGGCCGUGGCCCCCAUCACGGCUACUCCUCUGCUGCCCCGCGUACGCCGCCGCUCUUCUUCUGACGGACGGGAGAGCAGGCCGCCGCCCCCGCCGCUUCCCCUCCGACGGAUGCGAUAGCAGGCCGCCAUCUCCGCCACUCCUCUGCUGUCCCAUGUACGCCACCGCCGAACAAACAGCACCGCCGCCUGCGCCGCCGACCGCCGCUUCUCAUCGUCUGCAACGACGAAUCUGCUGCUAAUUAAGUUUGAUGUGCUGACAAUGGAAAUUUCGAUUGCCCCUAUCUCCUCCGCAAUGUGCAGAGAUUGCUGUCGCACUCACCAAAGGGAAGAUUGCUGAGUACUUCGCCUAAAUCCAGUGCAAACGACCACCAUGUUCGCCAAGAAGUGGACGAACGCCCAGGAGAUUAAGAUUGAUGGUGGAAAAUAUUAAUGCUAUGCCACUAUUGUGAAGCAAUUGUGCCUCUCUUGCAUAGGACAAUUCGUUUUGUGUAUAUGAACGUCUUGGAUGCAGUGCAGAAACCAGAUCGAGGCUAUAUUCAGUUCAUGGACUGCUCCAACAACUAUUAUCUCUGGUGUGCUUCCUGAUCUUGUUGCAAGGACAAAUUUAGUCUUCUCCUUUGACUACUAAUCCUUUUUCUUAUAUGUAGGCUUUGUAUCAUGUCCUUUUGAUUAAGUCUGCAAUUUCAUCUUCUUGAUUGUUAUUUCCUUUUAUGUUAAUGUGAGCUUUAUUUAAUUCAUCAUAUACCUAAUAAGUUAGCAAGAAACUCAUGUAUCUGUAAGACUGAAACGAGUAUUGUAAUAACGGAUCAUUGUCACAACCCUCUUCUUGGUCUCGGCCUAUUAAGAAUGAGGCUAAUUUCAAAGUUAGCCAGAAACUCAUGUAUCUCUAUAGUUUGUUAAAUCUUUGAAUUUCCAUGAGAGAAAGGAGCACACCUGGUUGAAACAUUCUUCUACAUUGAAUAAUAUAACCGUAAUUCAGAUGCAAACCUGUCUGUUUGACCUUGGUUUUGUUGUUGAUAUGUUACGAUUAAAUGGACUUGUAAUCAUGCACAUGUAUGUACCUAGGUCAGGUAUGUGGUAUUAAAACCAAUAUACGAUUGCGUAAAAUUCCGAUGGAGACUCAAAAUAUAUUAUAUAUAAUAUCAUUGUAAAAGGUGUACAAGCUUCUAUAUGUUCUACCAAGCCCGGCGGCGGUUCUACAAGCUUCUGUAUGUUUUAUCUGUCUGUAAAGGAGUAGCAUAACUUUUGCCAUGGGUAUGCAUGUUUGCCGCACACUAAGUUGUAAGGGUGUUGAUUCUGAAAUUGCGGAAGCACCUCUAGAGCACAGAAUGAUGGUAAAGCUAUAUUUUCCCCUUUCAUUUUGCAAUAUAGGAAAAAAAAGGUCGUAUUGAAGUUUCACGGGUUACAAGUUCACUCUGAUUGAAGUUGGUCUAAUAUCCUAGACGUGGCUGUUGUAUCUGCGGUGCAUGUAUUAAAUGUGCUUAGAGACACCUAAUGGUCAUACACUCAUUCUUGUACAUGGAAGUAUGUGUAAUGUAUCUUGGGUUUCAUG
Triticum dicoccoides is the source of this 2028-nucleotide long non-coding RNA. RefSeq lists it as uncharacterized. The transcript is spliced from 4 exons. The record is from RefSeq and is a predicted model, not a curated record. NCBI's taxonomy places the organism in Eukaryota, Viridiplantae, Streptophyta, Magnoliopsida, Poales, Poaceae.